Molecule: ribosomal RNA, 115 nt
Filed under: uncultured bacterium
Lineage: Bacteria
Description: partial 16S ribosomal RNA
Rfam family: Bacterial small subunit ribosomal RNA
Source: RNAcentral
CGUUCCCGGGCCUUGUACACACCGCCCGUCACACCAUGGGAGUUGGUUCGACCUUAAGCCGGUGCGCCAACCCGCAAGGGGGUAGCCGACCACGGUCGGGUCAGCGACUGGGGUG